GGCAGAGCGGGGUAGUGUGGGCGAGGGAAGUCCUUGUGUACCAGGUUUCUGAACGAAACACAAAAGGAAACAAGAUGCAGGAAAUUUUUGGUGAAGAACAUUUUUCCAUAGCUUGUGAACAUGUUGGUCCUCCGAUUUUGAUUUUUCAUUAUCUGUGGUCCAUGCAUGCUUUUGAUAUUCAAUCACUUUAUUUGUUUACAUCCUACUAGAUUCUAAUUUCAGAAUUGGUAUUCUAUUUAGCUCUAAGACCUUGCCUUUAUUUUGUAUGAAGUUUACUAAUACAUUAAAUUGCAUGCAUGUUAGAUAUUCGAUGGGUGCUACUGUUUCUGAUUACAUGCAAUUCCACUUGGUUGCACUUUUUAUUAUGUUUUUGUACAGAUCCUUUGAAGGUAGUGCUGUUGCUGAAUCUUGAUGCUAUGGAUAUUGUCUGCUUUCAACCCCACCAUGUACUACUUACCAGAUAUGGAGGCUAUGUAAUAUUUGUCCUCUAUUGUCUUUCAGUAAUUCCUUCUUCCUGAAAUUUACCUACAAACUUUAUGA
Molecule: long non-coding RNA, 540 nt
Organism: Triticum urartu
Lineage: Eukaryota; Viridiplantae; Streptophyta; Magnoliopsida; Poales; Poaceae
Source: RefSeq, a predicted model, not a curated record